AAAUGAACAGGUGAAUCAUCGAAUCUUUGAACGCACAUUGCGCCCAUCAGUAUUCUGUUGGGCAUGCCUGUUCGAGCGUCAUUUCCACCCUCAAGCCCUGGCUGCUUGGUGUUGGGCGCCCUACAGCUGCUGUAGGCCCCGAAAAUCAGUGGCGGUCUCGCCGGGACCCCGAGCGCAGUAGAUCUCUCUCGCUUAGGGGCACCGGUGGGUUUCUAGCCGUUAAACCCCCUAAAGUCUUAAAGGUUGACCUCGGAUCAGGUAGGAAUACCCGCUGAACUUAAGCAUAUCAAUAAGCGGAGG
This 300-nucleotide unclassified non-coding RNA is filed under the name uncultured Sordariomycetes. RNAcentral describes it as "sequence contains 5.8S rRNA gene, ITS2". The stretch from base 1 to 81 matches the Rfam family "5.8S ribosomal RNA", at positions 70 to 154 of the family's 154-position model. Lineage: Eukaryota; Fungi; Ascomycota; Sordariomycetes. The record is from RNAcentral.